This 22-nucleotide non-coding RNA is filed under the name Arabidopsis thaliana (thale cress). The record is from RNAcentral. Lineage: Eukaryota; Viridiplantae; Streptophyta; Magnoliopsida; Brassicales; Brassicaceae.
ACCAUCGAUCGUAUCAAGAAGC